RNAcentral lists this ribosomal RNA (497 nucleotides) under uncultured bacterium. RNAcentral's name for it is "partial 16S ribosomal RNA". It matches the Rfam family "Bacterial small subunit ribosomal RNA", at positions 28 to 507 of the family's 1533-position model. The record is from RNAcentral.
GAUGAACGCUGGCGGCGUGCCUAAUACAUGCAAGUCGAGCGAACAGACGAGGAGCUUGCUCCUCUGACGUUAGCGGCGGACGGGUGAGUAACACGUGGAUAACCUACCUAUAAGACUGGGAUAACUUCGGGAAACCGGAGCUAAUACCGGAUAAUAUAUUGAACCGCAUGGUUCAAUAGUGAAAGACGGUUUUGCUGUCACUUAUAGAUGGAUCCGCGCCGCAUUAGCUAGUUGGUAAGGUAACGGCUUACCAAGGCAACGAUGCGUAGCCGACCUGAGAGGGAGAUCGGCCACACGGGAACUGAGACACGGUCCAGACUCCUACGGGAGGCAGCAGUAGGGAAUCUUCCGCAAUGGGGGAGAGCUGGACGGAGCAACGCCGCGUGAGUGAUGAAGGUCUUCGGAUCGGAAAACUCUGUUAUUAGGGAAGAACAAAUGUGUAAGUAACUAUGCACGUCUUGACGGUACCUAAUCAGAAAGCCACGGCUAACUACGUG